This 459-nucleotide ribosomal RNA is filed under the name uncultured bacterium. RNAcentral's name for it is "partial 16S ribosomal RNA". It matches the Rfam family "Bacterial small subunit ribosomal RNA", at positions 338 to 795 of the family's 1533-position model. The record is from RNAcentral.
CCUACGGGUGGCUGCAGUGAGGAAUAUUGGUCAAUGGGCGGGAGCCUGAACCAGCCAAGCCGCGUGAAGGAAGAAGGUACAGCGUAUCGUAAACCUCUUUUGUCCGGGAACAAAGCCGGGUACGAGUCCCCGGAUGAGGGUACCUGAAGAAAAAGCAUCGGCUAACUCCGUGCCAGCAGCCGCGGUAAUACGGAGGAUGUGAGCGUUAUCCGGAUUUAUUGGGUUUAAAGGGUGCGCAGGCGGCCUGUUAAGUCAGCGGUAAAAGCCCGGGGCUCAACCCCGGCGAGCCGUUGAAACUGGCGGGCUGGAGUGGGAGAGAGGUACGCGGAAUGCGGGGUGUAGCGGUGAAAUGCUUAGAUAUCGCGCAGAACCCCGAUUGCGAAGGCAGCGUACCGGCUCCACACUGACGCUGAGGCACGAAAGCGUGGGGAGCGAACAGGAUUAGAUACCCUGGUAGUC